Molecule: ribosomal RNA, 253 nt
Filed under: uncultured bacterium
Lineage: Bacteria
Description: partial 16S ribosomal RNA
Rfam family: Bacterial small subunit ribosomal RNA
Source: RNAcentral
UACGGAGGGUGCAAGCGUUAUCCGGAUUUACUGGGGUUAAAGGGUGCGUAGGUGGGUCUGUAAGUCAGUGGUGAAAUCUCCGGGCUUAACCCGGAAAUUGCCAUUGAUACUAUAGGUCUUGAAUCAUCUGGAGGUAAGCGGAAUAUGUCAUGUAGCGGUGAAAUGCUUAGAUAUGACAUAGAACACCAAUUGCGAAGGCAGCUUACUAGGGAUGUAUUGACACUGAGGCACGAAAGCGUGGGGAUCAAACAGG